UCAGAGAGACUACAGUCAGCUGGCUAGGAGUACAGUCAGCUAGGAGCACAGUCAGCUAGGAGCACAGUCAGCUAGGAGCACAGUCAGCUAGGAGCACAGUCAGCAGGAGCACAGUCAGCUAGGAGCACAGUCAGCUAGGAGCACAGUCAGCUAGGAGCACAGUCAGCUAGGAGCACAGUCAGGCAGGAGCACAGUCAGGCAAGUGGCUUGAAGAUCUCUGUUACGGUCAGUAGCUUCAGGUAACUGUCAAAAUAAAGGAAACACUUACAUAAAGGGUGUUGGGCCACCACGAGCCAGAACAGCUUCAAUGCACCUUGGCAUAGAUUCUACAAGUGUCUGGUACUCUAUUGGAGGGACACGACACCAUUCUUCCACAAUAAAUGACAUCAUUUGGGGUUCUGUUGAUAGUGGUGGAAAACACUGUCUCAGUCACUGCUUCAGAAUCUACCAUAAAUGUUCAAUUAGGUUGAAAUCUGGUGACUGACACACACAAACACACUAACCCCCCCAUGCUCAUUUGAGACUCAAAGUCACUGAGAUCUCUUCUUCUAGCCAUGGUAGCCAAGAUAAUGGGCAACUGGGUAUUUUUAUACAUGACCCUAAGCAUGAUGGGAUGUUAAUUGCUUAAUUAUCUCAGGAACCACACCUGUACGGACCACACAUUCAAUAUACUCUGUGUUCUUCAUUUACUCAAGUGUUUCCUUUAUUUUGUCAGGUAUGUUGUUGAUGAGUAGGGCAUGAUGGGAUCUUUGGGGGCAGAAUAUCACUGCUGUUCCUGUCUAUUGAUCUGAACACAAGCUCAGAACAUAGAACAACCUAGAUGGUGCUGAGGACAACCACAGAGCUCCUAAUAUAACAUUACUGAGGGUUUGAUUCACGCAAUGGUCACACGUACUGAAUACAAGUCCUAGACCAGCCCAGAAAGAGUCUCCAGUACUGAGUACAGGUCCUAGACCAGCCCAGAAAGAGUCUCCAGUACUGAGUACAGGUCCUAGACCAGCCCAGAAAGAGCCUCCAGUACUGAGUACAGGUCCUAGACCAGCCCAGAAAGAGCCUCCAGUACUGAGUACAGGUCCUAGACCAGAAAGAGUCUCCAGUACUGAGUACAGGUCCUAGACCAGAAAGAGUCUCCAGUACUGAGUACAGGUCCUAGACCAGAAAGAGCCUCCAGUACUGAGUACAGGUCCUAGACCAGCCCAGAAAGAGUCUCCAGUACUGAGUACAGGUCCUAGACCAGAAAGAGUCUCCAGUACUGAGUACAGGUCCUAGACCAGAAAGAGCCUCCAGUACUGAGUACAGGUCCUAGACCAGCCCAGAAAGAGUCUCCAGUACUGAGUACAGGUCCUAGACCAGAAAGAGCCUCCAGUACUGAGUACAGGUCCUAGACCAGAAAGAGUCUCCAGUACUGAGUACAGGUCCUAGACCAGAAAGAGCCUCCAGUACUGAGUACAGGUCCUAGACCAGACCAUAGAUGUGACUUUUGGGGGUGUGAUGACAUGGUGAUGGGGUGACACUGAGAAUGUGUGUGAGGACCAUGAUUCACUGUGUCUGACCUUGAGUCCCUGAUGAAUUCCAGCCAUAUCUAGACACUGGUGAACACACACACUCU
Molecule: long non-coding RNA, 1609 nt
Organism: Oncorhynchus keta (chum salmon)
Lineage: Eukaryota; Metazoa; Chordata; Actinopteri; Salmoniformes; Salmonidae
Exons: 3
Source: RefSeq, a predicted model, not a curated record